CACGUAGGGGGCAAGCGUUGUCCGGAUUUAUUGGGCGUAAAGAGCUCGUAGGCGGUUCGGUAAGUCGGGUGUGAAACCUCCAGGCUCAACCUGGAGACGCCACCCGAUACUGCUGUGACUAGAGUCCGGUAGGGGAGCGUGGAAUUCCUGGUGUAGCGGUGAAAUGCGCAGAUAUCAGGAGGAACACCUAUUGCGAAGGCAGCUCGCUGGGACGUAACUGACGCUGAGACGCGAAAGCGUGGGGAGCAAACAGG
This 254-nucleotide ribosomal RNA is filed under the name uncultured bacterium. RNAcentral's name for it is "partial 16S ribosomal RNA". It matches the Rfam family "Bacterial small subunit ribosomal RNA", at positions 524 to 776 of the family's 1533-position model. The record is from RNAcentral.